UUGAAGGCCCUGCAAAGCAGCAUCGCGGUGGCGGAGCGUCGAAUGCGACGCCCAACACGCAAAACAAGCGGUGAACGCUUUGGGGUGGGGUGACUGCGUACCUUUUGUAUAAUGGGUCAGCGACUUAUAUUCUGUAGCAAGGUUAACCGUAUAGGGGAGCCGUAGGGAAACCGAGUCUUAACCGGGCGUUAAGUUGCAGGGUAUAGACCCGAAACCCGGUGAUCUAGCCAUGGGCAGGUUGAAGGUUGGGUAACACUAACUGGAGGACCGAACCGACUAAUGUUGAAAAAUUAGCGGAUGACCUGUGGCUGGGGGUGAAAGGCCAAUCAAACCGGGAGAUAGCUGGUUCUCCCCGAAAGCUAUUUAGGUAGCGCCUCGUGAAUUCAUCUCCGGGGGUAGAGCACUGUUUCGGCUAGGGGGCCAUCCCGGCUUACCAACCCGAUGCAAACUGCGAAUACCGGAGAAUGUUAUCACGGGAGACACACGGCGGGUGCUAACGUCCGUCGUGAAGAGGGAAACAACCCAGACCGCCAGCUAAGGUCCCAAAGUCAUGGUUAAGUGGGAAACGAUGUGGGAAGGCCCAGACAGCCAGGAUGUUGGCUUAGAAGCAGCCAUCAUUUAAAGAAAGCGUAAUAGCUCACUGGUCGAGUCGGCCUGCGCGGAAGAUGUAACGGGGCUAAACCAUGCACCGAAGCUGCGGCAGCGACGCUGAUGCGUUGUUGGGUAGGGGAGCGUUCUGUAAGCCUGCGAAGGUGUCCUGUGAGGGUUGCUGGAGGUAUCAGAAGUGCGAAUGCUGACAUAAGUAACGAUAAAGCGGGUGAAAAGCCCGCUCGCCGGAAGACCAAGGGUUCCUGUCCAACGUUAAUCGGGGCAGG
This 875-nucleotide ribosomal RNA is filed under the name Salmonella enterica subsp. enterica serovar Heidelberg. RNAcentral's name for it is "bacterial LSU rRNA". It matches the Rfam family "Bacterial large subunit ribosomal RNA", at positions 566 to 1378 of the family's 2925-position model. Lineage: Bacteria; Pseudomonadati; Pseudomonadota; Gammaproteobacteria; Enterobacterales; Enterobacteriaceae. The record is from RNAcentral.